UACGGAGGAUCCAAGCGUUAUCCGGAAUCAUUGGGCUUAAAGGGCGCGUAGGCGGCUUGCCAAGUCAGGGGUGAAAUCUUUCGGCUCAACCGGAAAAGUGCUUCUGAUACUGGCAGGCUGGAGGGAGGUAGGGGCAGAUGGAACUUCCGGUGGAGCGGUGAAAUGCGUAGAUAUCGGAAGGAACGCCGGUGGCGAAAGCGAUCUGCUGGAUCUCUUCUGACGCUGAUGCGCGAAAGCCAGGGGAGCAAACGGG
This 253-nucleotide ribosomal RNA is filed under the name uncultured bacterium. RNAcentral's name for it is "partial 16S ribosomal RNA". It matches the Rfam family "Bacterial small subunit ribosomal RNA", at positions 524 to 776 of the family's 1533-position model. The record is from RNAcentral.